Molecule: ribosomal RNA, 311 nt
Filed under: Humboldtiana sp. OM-2006
Lineage: Eukaryota; Metazoa; Mollusca; Gastropoda; Stylommatophora; Humboldtianidae
Description: partial 16S ribosomal RNA
Source: RNAcentral
GUCUGUAUUGAAUAGUUUGAAAUUACUCAAGAGGGUGAAAAUACCUAUUAAUUAAUAAAAAGACGAGAAGACCCUAGAAAUUUUUUAUAAAAUAUAUAUAACUAUUAUUAUUUUGUUGGGGCGACAGAAUAACAAUUUAACUUAUUUUACUAUAUUAGAAUUUUUUAUAAUGGGAGAUUAAAUUACUCUAGGGAUAACAGCAUAAUUAUUUAAUAGUUUGUGACCUCGAUGUUGGACUAAGGAAGCUUUUAUUCAGAAGAUAAAAUAUCGUGUUCUGUUCGAACAACAUAACCUUACAUGAUCUGAGUUCG